Non-coding RNA from Trichobilharzia regenti, 48 nucleotides. The record is from Rfam. Lineage: Eukaryota; Metazoa; Platyhelminthes; Trematoda; Strigeidida; Schistosomatidae.
AUCCAGCUGAUGACAAGUCCCAAAUAGGACGAAAUGCGCAUCCUGGAU